Molecule: long non-coding RNA, 977 nt
Organism: Spinacia oleracea (spinach)
Lineage: Eukaryota; Viridiplantae; Streptophyta; Magnoliopsida; Caryophyllales; Amaranthaceae
Exons: 4
Source: RefSeq, a predicted model, not a curated record
CAUUCACUCUCCUCUCUUCUUCCUUUUUAUCUCUCCUCCUCUAAAGUGGUUCUCCCUUUGAUCUUGGAGAUGGAGCCGAGUUUGCUGUGGUUUAAAGGUUUGCAAUCCUUCUCUCUUAGUUCUAUAAAUUCGCGAUUUUUAUGUUACUAAUUGUCGUUGCUUUCUUGUGAAUUUGUUCCGUUCUUUAAGUUUUAGCUUUUUUUUUGUUUGAUUCCUUUCGAAUUUUCGAAAUGGUGUGCUUGUUUUGUUGUCAAUAUAUUACUCGAUUUAUGUUUCUCUAAGCUUAGUAUUUCACAUGAAUUUGCUUCCCUUUCCGGGGUUUAAUCUGGCGUUUUAAUUGUGUUUUUUCCGAGAGAUUAUGGCAGCAGAGUUUGAGGAAUUGUCACACUCGCAAGUGUGGUUUGAUAUGCUGCAGGCAGUGCUUCUGUAGCAAGCUAAAGAAAUCGAUUUCAUCAAGUACACUUUGCAGGGUCACAAAAUAUUGUUGGAAGCUGACGAGGAAGAUUUGGUUCAUGAGCCAUGAAUGUGUUAAGGAGAAGUUUGUUUGAACUUAUACAUCUCCAGAAUUUCCAAUGGUGCAGGUAUAACUGUAUAAGGGUACUUACUGCAGUCAGGAAGUGUUCUGAAGCCCAAGCUUCUAAAUACAGAUUUCCAGAAGGUGUUUUGUCAAGAAGUGUGUAUCAUGAGGUUAUCAACUAUGUUGUUGAAAGAUGGUCCUUGACAAAUUCAAUGGAGGGAGGUGCGACUUGCUAAAUGCUAAUUGCUAUUCGGUUGGCUGGAGGACCCUUGCAUCAUUCAACAACUGUCGGAAAUGGGUCUCUCAGGUUGGGUUUGAGACCUUGGCAGCAGCAAAAGCCUGAUAUUUUUAAAUCUUCUGCAAUAAUCGGGCAUGUUACAACUGAAGCAAAUGAUGGCUCUACAUUUUUUGUCAUAGAUUUUAACUGUAUCUUUGAUUAAGUGAUUUUCAUUUUGAUAUG